RNAcentral lists this long non-coding RNA (333 nucleotides) under Musa acuminata (dwarf banana). Its description in RNAcentral is "long non-coding RNA (MACU_LNC000696)". Lineage: Eukaryota; Viridiplantae; Streptophyta; Magnoliopsida; Zingiberales; Musaceae. The record is from RNAcentral.
GCGGCACGGAACCGCUUCUCGUGUGCUACGAGGGCGGCGGCCGCGAGCUGCGACAGGAACUGGAGGAGCAGGAACACCGACUCAGCGACCAUCCACCGGGAGAACGGGAGGCGGGCGCGGGCGAGGUCGAGGACGAGGAGGACAGCGUAGGAGGCGGCGAGGAGGAAGGAGAUGGCGAGGGCGAGCUUGUAGCCGAGGCCGACGCGGACGAUGACGCGGGACUCAGAAAGCAGUGGCUUUUCGGCCUCCUCUUCGGCGGUGCCAGCACCAUCUCUCCGUCGCCGGCGGAAGCGGGAGGAAAGCUUCUGGAUGGCGAAGACGAGGAGGACGAAU